Molecule: long non-coding RNA, 466 nt
Filed under: Gallus gallus (chicken)
Lineage: Eukaryota; Metazoa; Chordata; Aves; Galliformes; Phasianidae
Source: RNAcentral
CAGAGCCACUGCAGCACUCUAGUUGUGUGAGUGUGAUUUGCCCAUUACUUUGAGAUUUCUAAAAAUCCAGGCUCCAUCCACUGAAGAAUUCAAAGGAUCACUGAUGGAGGAAUGAUGGCAGUAGAAUCACCUGCAUGCAUCAGCUGCAUGGAAACACCCAGGUGUGUACAGGGAUAUCAAACCAAGUCCUAUGCACGUUCGAGGUAAUACAUGAGCAGGAUCUGCUCCCAAUCCUGAACCUCUUUGAACAGUGACCAUACAAUUUUUUUUCACCUAAGCUCUGGGAGAAGAUCCCUGCUCAGCCAAGUUGGCCUUCUGCCCCACCUGCAUGACUUUGGACGUUAUGGAAUUGCUCGGUAAGAAGUGGUACUUUAAAAGUGACCAGCACUGGUGGACUCCAAUGCCUUCAGAAGCAGUUUUCCUAGGGAACUUACCAAAUAGUUCCCCGAGCAGCAUGAAGUCUGAU